CGAAGGGUGAGAGUGUUGAGCCCACAGUUUGGGCCGAUUUUGUAGAAGCUUUUCUUGAUUGAUUCUUUCCUUUAGAGUGGAGGGAAGCCAAAGAAGAAGAAUUCAUGAAUCUUAAAUAGGGGAAAAUGAGUUCCCAGGAGUAUACUCUAAGUUUAACCAACUGGAUCGUUAUGUACUAGAAAUGAUAGGUAAUAUGAGAGCUCGAAUGAGGAAAUUUACAUUCGGC
This 226-nucleotide long non-coding RNA is filed under the name Capsicum annuum. Its description in RNAcentral is "long non-coding RNA (CANN_LNC001044)". Lineage: Eukaryota; Viridiplantae; Streptophyta; Magnoliopsida; Solanales; Solanaceae. The record is from RNAcentral.